ACGAACGCUGGCGGCGUGCUUAACACAUGCAAGUCGAACGGAAAGGCCCUGCUUGCAGGGUACUCGAGUGGCGAACGGGUGAGUAACACGUGGGUGAUCUGCCCUGCACUUCGGGAUAAGCUUGGGAAACUGGGUCUAAUACCGGAUAGGAACCAUCUUUAGUGUGGUGGUUGGAAAGUUUUUUCGGUGUAGGAUGAGCUCGCGGCCUAUCAGCUUGUUGGUGGGGUAAUGGCCUACCAAGGCGGCGACGGGUAGCCGGCCUGAGAGGGUGUACGGCCACAUUGGGACUGAGAUACGGCCCAGACUCCUACGGGAGGCAGCAGUGGGGAAUAUUGCACAAUGGGCGCAAGCCUGAUGCAGCGACGCCGCGUGGGGGAUGAAGGCCUUCGGGUUGUAAACUCCUUUCGCUUGGGACGAAGCUUUGUUGUGACGGUACCUAGAGAAGAAGCACCGGCUAACUACGUG
Molecule: ribosomal RNA, 465 nt
Filed under: uncultured bacterium
Lineage: Bacteria
Description: partial 16S ribosomal RNA
Rfam family: Bacterial small subunit ribosomal RNA
Source: RNAcentral